Molecule: ribosomal RNA, 1015 nt
Filed under: uncultured organism
Description: bacterial SSU rRNA
Rfam family: Bacterial small subunit ribosomal RNA
Source: RNAcentral
UCCUUUCGCUGGGGAGCAAGAGAAGUGGGCGAAUAGUCUACUGAUUGAGAGUACCUGGUAAAGAAGCACCGGCUAACUCCGUGCCAGCAGCUGCGGUAAUACGGAGGGUGCGAGCAUUAAUCGGAUUUAUUGGGCGUAAAGGGCGCGUAGGCUGGACGAUAAGUCAGACGUGAAAUCUAAGGGCUUAACCUUUGGGCUGCGUUUGAAACUGUGGUUCUAGAAGGGUAGGCGGAGAGAACGGAAUUCCACAAGUAUCGGUGGAAUGCGUAGAUAUGUGGAGGAACACCUGUGUGCGAAUCGCGGUUCUCUAGCUUAUACCUGACGCUGAGGCGCGUAAGCAAGGGGACCGAACAGGAUUAGAUACCCUGGUAGUCCUUGCCGCAAACGAUGCACACUUGGUGUAGCUGGAAUCAACUCUGGCUGUGCCGUAGCCAACGUGUUAAGUGUGCCGCCUGGGGAGUACGCUCGCAAGGGUGAAACUCAAAAGAAUUGACGGGGACCCGCACAAGCAGUGGAACAUGUGGUUUAAUUCGAGGCAACGCGAAGAACCUUACCCAGGUUUGACAUGCAGUGGGCGGCACUAGAGAUAGUGUUUUCCUUCGGGACUGCUGCACAGGUGCUGCAUGGCUGUCGUCAGCUCGUGCCGUGAGGUGUUGGGUUAAGUCCCGCAACGAGCGCAACCCCUAUUGUUAGUUGCCAUCAAGUGAAGUUGGGCACUCUAGCGAGACUGCCCGGGUUAACCGGGAGGAAGGUUGGGAUGACGUCAAGUCCGCAUGGCCCUUAUGCCUGGGGCUACACACGUGUUACAAUGGUCGGUACAGAGGCCGGCGAAGUCGAGAGAUGGAGCAAAUCUUUAAAGCCGAUCUCAGUUCGGAUUGCAGUCUGCAAUUUGACUGCAUGAAGUUGGAAUUGCUAGUAAUGGCGUGUCAGCAACAACGCCGUGAUACGUUCCCGGGUCUUGUACACACCGCCCGUCACAUCAUGGGAGUUGGUUUUACCCGAAGUCGCUGACUUA